CUUGGGCAAUGGGCGCAAGCCUGACCCAGCGACGCCGCGUGAGGGAUGAAGGCCUUCGGGUCGUAAACCUCUGUCAGGAGGGAAGAACGGCGAUGAGGUGAACAAUCUCGUCGUCUGACGGUACCUCCGACGGAAGCGCCGGCUAACUCCGUGCCAGCAGCCGCGGUAAUACGGAGGGCGCAAGCGUUGUUCGGAAUCACUGGGCGUAAAGCGCGUGUAGGCGGCUUGGCAAGUCGGGUGUGAAAUCCCGGGGCUCAACCUCGGAACUGCACUCGAAACUGCCUGGCUAGAGUCCCGGAGAGGGUGGCGGAAUUCCCGGUGUAGGGGUGAAAUCCGUAGAUAUCGGGAGGAACACCAGUGGCGAAGGCGGCCACCUGGACCAGUACUGACACUGAGGCACGAAAGCGUGGGGAGCAAACAG
RNAcentral lists this ribosomal RNA (421 nucleotides) under uncultured bacterium. RNAcentral's name for it is "bacterial SSU rRNA". It matches the Rfam family "Bacterial small subunit ribosomal RNA", at positions 363 to 775 of the family's 1533-position model. The record is from RNAcentral.